GCACGACUCAGGGUCAAAUGCAGAAUAAUCCUUGGCGAGCAGGGCAGCUCAAACUGGAGAAGAAAUACCUUCAGGAAACUGGUUUUGUUUUGCGGCAUGGGCCAACAGGUAAACAAAAAUAAAUAAAAGACAUCCCGGAAGAUGGGCGGAGGAACGAGUCCAACGUGUUCAGUCAAACACAAGCUAGCGCUGCAGCUACUGCUGCUAAAGUUAGCCACCUCAUGGAAAAGCACCGUCAACGCACAGCAGCACCGGACAAGAGUGCUCCUUUUGUGUCUUUAAUUACACUGGUUAGCUAAACUGGCCUGUUUGAGUUUGUCGGCGAAAAAAAGGAGAGCAAAAAAAAAAAACCAAAACGACAGACUUGUUGGCCGAGCAGAAGCUAACGCUAGCGCCAGUUAUGCUAACUAGCCAGCUGCUUGUUUUUUUUGUUUUUUUUUUAAGCUAGCUCGGCUCCACCACUCCAGUCCAGGCCACAAGUGAAGUUUGCGCUGCUUUUCAGCGACCCUCUCAAUCAAUUUUCAACUCGAAAUAAAUCUCACCACAUGCCCACGCAGCUGCACUGCGUGUUCUCUAUAUGAAGACACAAGCUGUAUGCACGAACAUCUCAGCAAAAGCGACCUUUAUAGUUCAUUUAACGUUAGAGGGUUUUUUUUUAAGGGGGAGCCGUUUGCUGCUGACUCGAUGGUUGUGGCAUGCGUGGCGUACGUGUCUUUCGUAAAGAAAUAUAAAAAAAAUCCUCAAGUCCUCCAGCGAGCACAAAACAUUACAGGUGACUUAUUUUUGCUUGAGAAAUAAGGUGUUUCAGCUGGCUGGCUGACCCCACAGCGACAGCUCCUCUCCGGUCAGUGCAGAGAUUUGCGUGGCUCAGACCUCAGCUCUCUGAGGGGCUGACAGUCGGACUCCGUCGUGGCUCCGCUCCUCUCUGCGUUUGGAAAUAAGAAGAAAACGCUGCAAGUUUCCAAAGCUCCGCUCUUCAGCUGACUGCUCCAGCAACUGAGCGUGUAUCCGAAUGAAAGAAAGAGAGAAAAAAUGGGCGAGAUAAAAAAAAAAGAAAAGAAAUUAAAAAAAAAAGUUUUCGACUUAUUGUUUUCCUUUCUUCCACGCACAGAGGUAGAUUGUACAGUCUCCCAGGUCCUGCAGGAUCCCCCCUUCUCUCCCCAGCCUCUCCGCCAGUAAACAAACCCUGCCAGUGAGCCAGAUGGGCUUGAGGGGAAAUACGGACUGGAGCUUAUUGGAUUACACAACAAACUGAUCCCACUGUCAGCUGGUAACGCGUUAAAGAAAAAGAAAAGGAAAGAAAAAAAAAAGUAAUGCGGUUACUUCUCUGGGUGAAUCAGUCGUGCAAUAAAUAUACUCUACAGCUCCUGUGCUGGAGAAGCCUGCCAGAGGUAUGGAGGGCCGAGACUGCCACAAUCAGACAUUAGUAAGUACAUAAAUAAAUGUCUAGAUAAAUGAAUUAGUGCCAUCAAAUGCACCCAAAAAAUAAUGUAAAAAUGAUUAUUGAAUGAAAAUUAAUGGAUAUGUGACAUGAAUGCAUAUUUCUACUUUGCUCCUGUAUUUAUUUACUUUAGUAUUAAUUCAACAAUUUUUUUUUCCUUUCUCCAUUUUACUUUUCAUUGUACAAUUAAUUUGAAAUAUGUGGUUUCCCGUGUUUUUUCUUUUCUUUUUUUUCCCUGCAAGAAAUUGGCAAUACAAUAUUUUGUAAUUUAUAUAAAUGUACAUCUUUUUCUUGUUUUUUCCUGAUAUUUGUAAAAAAAAAAUUGGAAGAUGACCUGUGUGCAGUAUUAUAUGAAGGUGUUUUUAAUCCCAUGUGACAGAUACCAGAUAUUGCCAUGACACAGACAUAAAAAUUAACUUUAUUUAUUUAUUUAUUUAAUUAUUUCCUCCUAUUCCUGCCUUUCUAUUUACAUUUCAACUUCAUAAUACUAAUGAGGGGGCUGCCAUUUUAAGCCAAUCACGGCAGAGUAGGGUAUUAAAUAUUUAAUAAAUUAAUGAAUGCCUACAUUUGUUUUCAAUUCAAUUUUUGGUGCAUGUACUGGCAUAUUGAUUUAUUUGUAACUUGUAGUUGUGUUUAACUUAGUACUUCAACUCCACUAUAUUUUGGAGGCAAAUGUUCUAGCUACUUACUCCACUACUGCUACUUAAUUACUAGUUUUACGAGUUACUUUGCAGAUCAUGCUACAUACUUGGAGGACUGAAGCUACCAAAGUAAAAAAGAACGAAGGCACAGAAAAUGCAAAAAGAAAAAUGAAAGGAAUAGAAAAUGAAUUGGGGGGAAAUGCAAAAGGACAAAAACUAGAUACUUUUUUGAUAAAGUGAUAAAGUGGAAAUUUAAAUAGGAAACAAUUAGUUGAAUUACUACAAAUGCAAUAAAUAGAGGCAAAUCAGAUUAGAAGUAUUUAUGCCACUUUUUAUAAUGAAUCAAUCCCUACAUUUAUUUCUGGUGCGCUUAAUGGCAUAUCAUGUCUUUUAAUCAAGCCAUUUAUUUAAUAUGUUUCAUUUAAUCAGUUCCAGUCCUGUAUACAACAGAGCCAAAGUAGCAGAUUCUUUAAUUUAUGUCAUCAGUUAAAAAAUAAAUGCCGAAAGUCAGCUCUUAUAAUCGACUAGGUCUAAAGUGACACUGAUAUACCCAGACUGUACAAUAUAUACAUACAUACAUACAUACAUACAUGUAAAUAUGCUGUAUGUGUAUUUUACAUUUACUUGUACUCAAACCAAAACAGACAAAUGUGGAACACAAUAACACAAGAUAUAGAAGGUAACUGAAAAACUGUGAGGAAGUUCUAACUUUGUGUCACUUAUGCAUAAAUUAGAAUAAAAUUGUCUGUUCCAAAGAUCACAUGGAACUGACUUUUGAAAGAACCCAACCUAAAAAAUGGACUCUUCGUUUGAAUCCUUGCAAACAUCGACUGUAUACAGUCAGAUUUGGGUCCUUCUGCUCAUGUCUGAAACAGAAGAAGAUCCGCCGUUAUUUUAGGACUCAGAGGAAGGAAAAUCCUUGUGUGCUCCAGCCAUUGUUUAAAAACAGAAUGUGAUUCCGCUUUUUGAUCCUGUGAUGUUCUCUUCUCAUACUCAGACAGACCAGUGGAAUAAAAAAACAAAAAAAACAAAAAAAAAACCAACAACACGUAAUUCACACUUUGCUCACAACUCAGAGUCUGAAAAUAUCUGGGAUUGUUCUUCCUGCCGUGUGUGUGUGUGCGAGAUGUGAUUGAGCCAUGAUGCCAUCUCCACGUCGCCCGCUAAUUCACUACCUGUUUACAUCCUCCAUCAGGGCAGCAGCAUGUUUGGUGCAAGAUGCUCACAUCCUGUUGUUUAUUGUUCCGAAAAAGAGUUUUGUUUUGUUUUUUACUGGAAUUCUACACUUACGGGAUUUGUGCGCCAGCUGUGACACUUAUGAGGUAUUCUCUUGCCGAGAUUUGUCCGUAAAAGCAUGCAGGUGGUGCGAAAGAACACCAGAUACCCUGCUGACGCACACGUUGACUCGAAGGGAAGUGACCACUUGAGAGUUACGUGAAACAGGAGAGCAGCUCAUUAGUGGUAUCAGCACUUGUGUAAUCAGAGUUAUUUACCAAAAGAAGAGAACUCAGAGGCCCGUACAUGUUCACAACAACACGUCUGAAGCGGUGGAAGGAAACGAAAAGGAGCCGAGGGGUCAAGAGGUGACGCUCGAGAAAUGUCCCCAAAGGCACAGGAAGGAGGAGGAAUUGGUUACUGUUGGUGGAUUGGACCUUCAUGAAAUGCAGCGAGAUCUUGCGUUAUAGAGAAAGCAGAGCAGAACUGCAUCGCUGUGAAUUCCCUUAAACAUAAUCCCAUAUUUAGUGUGCAGUCUGUAGGAGUGAGAUGCCUUAAUGAGAUUAAAGCCGAGGUCGUGUCGGACGGUGUAGGGUGGAGCAGCGGUCUGACUGGACUUCUGCACAACAUGACCUCAUUUAGUGUGAUGCAGGUGAAAGGUUGGGCAAGGUGGCUGGCAGUAUGGACUUUGGAAAACAAUCAUCGCCGGUCAGCAACAAUGUGACUCAGGCAAAAAUUACAGACUCGCUGUAGAGACAGUGGAAAGAAGAGAAGACACACCGAAAAAACAAAGAAAUAGAUCUACACGGGAUCAGCUAUCCCCAAUGCAAUUAAUGUGGUCAACCAAUUAUAGUAAUCGUAUGAGAGUGUAAGCUUAACACUACGGGUAUGACAGUCAAAAACUUGAGAGAUCUUUGAUUUAUUGCUGUCAUGUGUUUUGUUGUUGUGUUAUAUUGUGUUUGUGUGUGUGUUUUCCUUUCCUGGGUGAGACCAGAACCAAUGUUCCUGCUCUGGCUACACAGUAAAAUCAUUGUAUUCUAUUCUUUAAAGGCAACAACAACAACAACAACAACAAAAGACACUGCAUCAACUCAUACUGAAUAGUUUAGAUCAUCGGUAGCCAUUUCCCAAAAUAUAUUAUAGUUUGUAGAUAUAGUAACAACAUUAUAGUACAACAUUAUGUAGAAAUUGACAUUUUGAGCUAUGUGGAACACCCACAGUUACUGGGUACAACAUUUUCUAAGCUUCUGAAGUAUUUUAAGGUAAAAAUAUAUUUUUAAAAAAGUUACUUAACAUUGCUGUAUGAAAAGUAUGAAAAGUUGAAACCUGCUUGAACUUUUUCUCCACCAUUUGUUUUUCCAUCAAAGGGGACGUGUGGCUGAGAUGUUGUGUGCUAAUGUGUUAGAGCAGGAGCUCUUCCUCUGUGGUGCCUUCAAGGAAGCUUCAACUUCCAAUAUUUACAUGUUGGCUGUCAAAAAAGUUGCCUUCACAGGCUAUGUUGUCGUUAAAAUCAGACCCGGAAGAUGAACAAUAAGCAAACAUGGAUGUCCUGGAAGGGAUUGUGGAGUUGGCCCGCGCUUCAAAGAUUACAGUCUGGCAGCUCAUUCUUAAGUGGUUUACAAGACGAGAAUGGUGUGAAAGAAGCAGGCACAGAAAUGUGCCACAAUAAAAAUGUGUCAAGCUGAAAAUAAGGAUUAAAAUGAUAAAAAAAAAACUGUCAAACUGGUUUUGCUUCAGGUAAAUGUUUGUAUCAUGAUGAAAACCUACAGAAUAAAAACACCAUCAGGGUUCUGGAUUGGCUCCCCGUAAACGCCGCUUCAACGAUACUACAUUGUCAGCCAUCAUGUGUAAAUGAAGGUCGACUGGAGUUCCACAUCAGACUGGUUUUUCUGUCUUCCUUCACAUCUCCAAUAUCAA
This is a long non-coding RNA of Acanthopagrus latus (yellowfin seabream), 5214 nucleotides long. RefSeq lists it as uncharacterized. Lineage: Eukaryota; Metazoa; Chordata; Actinopteri; Spariformes; Sparidae. The transcript is spliced from 3 exons. The record is from RefSeq and is a predicted model, not a curated record.